UUAAUGGAGAUAUUUCAAUCUUGGCAUGAUC
Molecule: non-coding RNA, 31 nt
Filed under: Mus musculus (house mouse)
Lineage: Eukaryota; Metazoa; Chordata; Mammalia; Rodentia; Muridae
Also listed under: 1 other name
Source: RNAcentral